Molecule: unclassified non-coding RNA, 256 nt
Filed under: uncultured Actinomycetes bacterium
Lineage: Bacteria; Bacillati; Actinomycetota; Actinomycetes
Description: uncultured actinobacterium contains 16S-23S intergenic spacer region
Source: RNAcentral
AAGGCUUGACAUACACCGACCACAAGGGGGCGACCAUCUCUGGCCGUUUCCGGUGUAUGUCAAGCCUUGGUAAGGUUCUUCGCGUUGCGUCGAAUUAAGCCACAUGCUCCGCUGCUUGUGCGGGCCCCCGUCAAUUCCUUUGAGUUUUAGCCUUGCGGCCGUACUCCCCAGGCGGGGAACUUAAUGCGUUAGCUGCGGCACCGACGACGUGGAAUGUCGCCAACACCUAGUUCCCACCGUUUACGGCGUGGACUAC